AUGUCGACAUCCACCUCAGUUGUCUCCACCGGCCUCAACAACAAUGUUUUCGAACCCCUCACUCGUUCCAAUUAUGUUCUCUGGCGUGCCCAAGCUCGUUCCCAGAUCAUGGGGGCGGGUCUCUUCGGGUAUGUCGACAAAACCCUAGAAGCGCCAUCCAAAACCAUCACCAGCAAGAACGCCGAGGGCAAAGAUCAGGUGUCUGUGAAUCCUGCUUAUGCACCUUGGCUCAUCCAAGAUCAACAGAUCGUCGCCUAUCUUCUCCGCAAUCUCUCAAAAGAGGUUCUAGUUCAAGUAGCAUCCCUAGAAACCUCCCAUGCCAUCUGGUCCGCCCUCGCCAACAUGUUUUCUGCUCAAUCUCGCUCUCGCUGCAACCACAUCCGC
Molecule: ribosomal RNA, 384 nt
Filed under: Triticum aestivum (bread wheat)
Lineage: Eukaryota; Viridiplantae; Streptophyta; Magnoliopsida; Poales; Poaceae
Description: partial small subunit ribosomal RNA
Source: RNAcentral